Molecule: small nucleolar RNA, 104 nt
Organism: Cercocebus atys (sooty mangabey)
Lineage: Eukaryota; Metazoa; Chordata; Mammalia; Primates; Cercopithecidae
Source: Ensembl
AUCCUUUUGUAGUUCAUAAGCGUGAUGAUUGGGUGUUCACAUGCAUCCGUGAGAUGUGCCACCCUUGAACCUUCUUAUGUCAUCAGCACAUUACCCGUCUGACA